GCAUUGCUGAGGAGUCCCAUAAUAGGACGAAACGGCCUUUCAAUGC
This is a non-coding RNA of Schistosoma rodhaini, 46 nucleotides long. The record is from Rfam. Lineage: Eukaryota; Metazoa; Platyhelminthes; Trematoda; Strigeidida; Schistosomatidae.